Molecule: ribosomal RNA, 638 nt
Filed under: uncultured bacterium
Lineage: Bacteria
Description: bacterial SSU rRNA
Rfam family: Bacterial small subunit ribosomal RNA
Source: RNAcentral
CCUACGGGAGGCAGCAGUGGGGAAUUUUGGACAAUGGGCGCAAGCCUGAUCCAGCAAUGCCGCGUGCAGGAUGAAGGCCUUCGGGUUGUAAACUGCUUUUGUACGGAACGAAACGGUGAGCUCUAAUACAGUUUGCUAAUGACGGUACCGUAAGAAUAAGCACCGGCUAACUACGUGCCAGCAGCCGCGGUAAUACGUAGGGUGCGAGCGUUAAUCGGAAUUACUGGGCGUAAAGCGUGCGCAGGCGGUGAUGUAAGACAGAUGUGAAAUCCCCGGGCUCAACCUGGGACCUGCAUUUGUGACUGCAUCGCUAGAGUACGGUAGAGGGGGAUGGAAUUCCGCGUGUAGCAGUGAAAUGCGUAGAUAUGCGGAGGAACACCGAUGGCGAAGGCAACUCCCCGUGGACCUGUACUGACGCUCAUGCACGAAGCGGUGGGGAGACAAACAGGUAUUAGACUACCCGUGGUACGUCCACGACCCUAAACGAUGUCAACUGGUUGUUGGGUUCUUCACUGACUCAGUAACGAAGCUAACGCGUGAAGUUGACCGCCGUGGGGAGUACCGGCCGCGAGGUUAGAAACUCGAAAGUAGUAGUACGGACGUUGNGAGAGCGACGGACGGACGACGAGGGAGGGAGG